UUUCUGUGAUUUAAUAGACCAAAUAUUGCAUAGUUUAGAAUGCACAAAUGGACAGUAUGGUUGCAACAGAUGUUGUUGUAUAAUGGCAUUUGAGAAACAUUACCAAAAACAUGUUUUUCAUGUCUUAAUUGUCCUCCCUGUCUUUUACAUUAACUCUGUUUGUUUGUUUGUUUUUACAGUGCUUUGAGGAAGUACUGCUUCUCUUUGUGCCUAACAAAUAUAAUUCCCAGGCAGGAAGAGCAGUAGGAUCAGAGGGUGCUGUUCCUGGUGGUGGUGUUUCUGUGGCUCCCAGCUUUGCAAAUAGUGAGUGCAACAUCCACAGUCACGUGGCAAAGACUAAAACGCAGUCAUCCAUCUUCAUUUCAUUUUAAUACUGUUUUCUCUUCAUGUAUAAAAUGAGGAGAAGGAGGAACAAAGCUAUGUCUCGUUCCAUCAUCUUUAUUCUCUAGCAAACCCGUAAUCAGCGGAUUUGUCACAAAACUUCUGGGAAAGGAAACCUUUUAAUAUGCAGAUGACUGGAUGUGGUCCAGAACAGGGAAUAGCUCAUGCAGCCUGUCUUUGCUUUUGUUCUCAUUCAGAUUUUCACCCUAGACAAACACAGCAAUGACAUUUCUGAGAAGCGUGCGUCGUUCCCAUUGUGGCUGUGCUGAGAGACGCACCUGCUCCUGUGCGCGCUGCCAGCCACAGGACUUGUGUGGAUGCUUGGCAGCACAGUCAUGGUCCAGGGACUUCUCCUGUCCCUUUCCCCAUCCCUUCGCUUUACCCUACCUAAUGAGGGAUGAAGUGCCAUCUGAUCCUCAGAGCAACCAGAGCAGACAUCCAGACAUCUUAUUCUCCAGCGUGGAUUUAACUGAGGAUGUCCUUGAGACAUAACGGUGAUCACAGUGUUGUUGUGAUUUUCCUAGCAGCAAAUAGCUAGGUAUAUGGAUUUUUCAUUAAGGUUAGGAUUGCAACAACGAUAGAGAGAUGACACGGAAAUAAUUAAAAACUCAUUUUCCUAAUCUGGCUAAGUGAUCUGACUGAUACAUUACUCACUAUCCGUGCUACUGGAUGCAGAAAAAAAAACAACUAUGCACAUAUGGGAAGCUUUUUCUGUACCAGUCUUUAGAUAAAAUAACCCAAUUUGUUUGCUCUUUUUCAUUAGAGAAGAUGACAUUCAACAGCAGUGAAAGCAAGAAUUAUUAAAGAAAGUUUUUCUUAUAACCAGCCUGAAGAAUGUAUUGUUAAGAAGCAAGGUGACAACGGCACUCUGAGCUGCAAGAAGACACUUGGUACAGCCACUUGCUGGAGAAGUUGUGUCUUUCCAGGUACAUUUUUUACUUUUUGGUCGCAUGAUUAGAUGACCCUAUUUCCCCUUCUAUUAUCAAACCCUCUGUUACCCUUCCCUGGACCCGAAAUGGAUGGCACAUCUCCCCAGUCCUUCAAACUACUAAUGCUUCUCUCAACUUCCUUUCUCCAGUCCUCAGCUUUCGUUCGUGUGGAAGCUGAAAUCACAGUCUCUGGCAGAGAUACCUAGACAUGAAAAUUCAUGUGUAAAGAUGAAGAAGGCUGGGAGCAUCAUGGCUACAGGUAUGACAUAAGGAUUUAGACCAAAAAAAUAAAAGACAGGAGGGACUCCUUCCCAGUUGUGAAAGUGCCUGAUGAAAGACUUAUUUCCCACCUGCGGCUGCUAAAAGAGAAGCCACGACCCAGCGUUAGUACCAGGGCUGUCUCCAUCGCACAGUGGGUACACGCUGUCCCAUGCCUGUCUGCCCAGAGGAAUGUCAUCAGCCAUUGCCCAACACUCAAUUAGUGUUUUAAACCAGAAUUUCUUCUAUCCGCAUUCCUGAAGUGUUCAUAGUCAUGAUAUACAAUGAUGCUUUGCGUUAAAAAAAAAGUGUGCAUGUAGGAGUAAGUGAGCUGAAACUGCUUAGAAUGGCCGGCUGGCUCCGCUGUGUUCCCCACCAUAGUCAUCGCCCCAUGCAGGGAAGUCAGCCAUCAGAUUGUCUUUCGCUCCAAUGCUUAUGGGAAUGUUUUAUUUCUAUCCUAUAGCACUCAGGUAUGGCUUUUCUAUGUCCUCUGUAACAGACUUUACAGAAUUCACAGAACUUACACAUUUUUCUAAGCCCGUGCCAGAAGGUGUUGCGUUUCCACACAACAGAGCACAGUCCUGUGUCUUUCUGCUUUAAGAUGUUGCUCUUUAGUAAUCAAUUAAUAAUUUCAUGCUAGCAUGGUUACUGUAUCUUUUCUGAGUUCAUUUACAAGCUGGACUAUUACCAUGGUAAAAGUUAAACAGUUCACUGUAAACUGCUUCACCCGCAGAUCAGUUUUAUUUUUCUCAAUUAAUCUUGUGUGCAGGGCCAUCCGGAUGGCUUUCCUUCCUUGUUUGCUGCUGAUACACUGUACUGUUUUACAAGCUAACUCCUCUCAUUAAUUCUGCCUCAUUGUUUUUGCCAGCGUGACUUGCUAGAAUGCAGACAGUGCCAAAGUUUGCAAAAAAAUUUCCAUGCGGCUGAGGGGUAUUCUGCAGGGAGGAGAAGGAGGAGACGUGACAGAAGUCACCUUUUAUUAGUGCUAGUGUCUUGACUCCAACGUAAGGAAACGGUGCAGUAAGUGACAGCUUCUUUAGUUUCUGUUUUUUCUGCAAGAGCAGCUCCUUUGUCAGCCAAAGUGAGUUUCAGGGAAAUUUAUGGAAACUUGUUAACUCUUGGGGUGCUAGAAAUAUCCUGUGAGGUGCAUAAAAAACCUUUCUCUACUGAGGUUUUGCACUGCAGUAGAUGUCCUGUGUGUUUACAUAUGCCACACGUCUAAUACACCAGCCCUUUUCUUCAGGCAUCGAAUCAGCCCUUCAAGAGAGAUUUCGAUGGAGCAUCCUCCAUGGCGCAAGUUGAUCAUCUGUGCAGGGUGGAUCCUUCAAACUUGUUCAUGGUCGGAUAGGAGCCUUGGUGGGUUGGGUGGGAGGCCUCCUCCUAAUCCCACUGAAGUCAGAGGAAAGACUCCCAUUAACAGGCUUUGGAUCAGUGCCUGUGGGAAGCUCUUUUAUAAAUCCCAGCUUGCCUCGAGCAGCCUAAUGCCUACAGCUCUAACUAGCAGGACAUGCUGUAAUAUAAAGCCAUUCUGUACUUCAGUUUUUCUAGGAUUACUUGGAGGAAUAAGGUGGCCCUGUUGAGCUAAAAGUUGGGGUCUUGGAGACUGGGAGAAGAAACUGAUGUUUUGUCCAGUACUUAUUACAACUCUCUUGCUUCUAGCACCAAAAUCUUUUUGCAACAUCAUCUCUCAGUCUUUUAACAAAUGCAGUCUUAUGCCCGUCCACAAUACUGCCAUUGUUUGACCACGUAGCACUCUCUUGUACAGUCUGCUUACUUUCUCUUCCAAUAUAAAUUAGUUCCUCACUCACAGCAUCUACCAUGACUAUUUCCCUACUUAACACCUUCUAUUCAGACUCUAUUUGUGCUGAAUAUUUAUACUUACAGUCUAAGCUUCUGGGGAAGAGACCAUUUUGUGCUCUGUGUUUAUGCAUCAGUUGUCUCCUGGCCCAACAUAAUGACAACAACAACAACAAUAAUAAUAAAAUAAACCAUGUUGCUCCCAGUGUUCUGCUCUUCUGCCCACCUCCUCCUCUACCCAGUACUGUCCCAGGUGGUUUUCCAGCUGCAAAAGAGCUAAUGGGAUGGCUGUUCCCAGCACCAUAUAUCCCAAAGAAAUUAUUAAUUUGAAGGUUUCAAAAGGGUAAGGGAAGUUGCCAACAGAAGGGGAAGGGCCUGAAAUGGUGUAACUGGCCAUUUCUUUCCUGGCUGAAGCCUACAACAGGUUGAGCCACCCAGUUUAGGUCUGGGGGCAGGUAUUCAGGUUUCUUGAGGGGAAGGAGGCUAAGAUCUGCAGAGCUGUCCCUGUGCGUGUGGGCAGCUUGUUUUGAACAGUCGAGUAUUUUCCAAGAA
Molecule: long non-coding RNA, 3917 nt
Organism: Cygnus olor (mute swan)
Lineage: Eukaryota; Metazoa; Chordata; Aves; Anseriformes; Anatidae
Exons: 3
Source: RefSeq, a predicted model, not a curated record